This 989-nucleotide long non-coding RNA is filed under the name Homo sapiens (human). RNAcentral's name for it is "non-protein coding LINC02327:38". The record is from RNAcentral. Lineage: Eukaryota; Metazoa; Chordata; Mammalia; Primates; Hominidae.
AGCUUCCGGAGCAGCUGGGACUGCUGGCGCCCGCCACUACGCUCGGCUAAUUUUUUUGUGUUUUUAGUAGAGACGGGCUUUCACCGUGUUGGCCUAGCGGUUCUCCAACUCCUGACCUCAUGAUCCCCCCGCCUCAGCCUCCCAAAGUGCUGGGAUUACAAGCGUGAGCCACCGCGACCCGCCAACACUCUUGACAACAGUGCUGUGCUAAGAACUUGGGGGACUUCAAAAAGUUCACCAGUUCCUGUGUCCAUGGGUGAAAAGAUUUUCUACAUCUUUCCUUGACUAGAAACAGAAGUCCUGAAACAAGGUACACCUUCUUGAGGCUUACUUGGUGAGUCUAAUUUGUCUUCUGGCACCACUGUGAAUUUGAAGGCUUACGUCUUCUUCCCUGAUCAUAUGUUUUCUACAUGUCAGGAAUAUAACGUCAGGAGGCCAGAGGCUUUGUCCUGCCUAAUGUGUUAUUUCCACACUGAAUAAAAGCACCUGAGUCCUGAAUUCUCCAAACACCACCUCACACAGUUUUGGAAUCUCUUUGUCUUCAUUUCCCAGAAUUUGGAAGAGUUCAUCUAGUAUCUCUGCAUUUUAAAAAGGUUGUACAUCUAGCAAUACCUAACAAAAUAGGAAAUCAACUUGGAAAGCCAAUGGCUGUGUUUUGAGUUUAUGGAGAGCCAUAUGUGGCAAGGAACUGAGGGUGGCAUCCAGGCAACAGACUUCAAGAAACUGAGGCUGUCAGUCCAACAACCCACAAGAACUGAAUCUGACCAACAAUCACAGGAACAAACUUAGAAGUAUACUCUUUCCCAGACAAACCUUCAGAUGAGACCACAGCCCCAGCCAUAAGCUUGAAAACAAUCUCAUGAGGGACCUUGAGCCACAGGCAUGUAGUAAAGCUAUGCCAGGAAUCCUGCCUGCCCCACAGAAAAUGUAAAAAAAAUAAAUUUUUAUUGUUUUAAGCCACGAAGUUUUGAAGUAAUUUGAUAUAAAAC